Molecule: small nuclear RNA, 103 nt
Organism: Ursus americanus (American black bear)
Lineage: Eukaryota; Metazoa; Chordata; Mammalia; Carnivora; Ursidae
Source: Ensembl
UUGCUUUAGCAGCACAUAUACUAAAAUUGGAAUGAUACAGAGAAGAUUAGCAUGGCCCCUGCGCAAGGAUGACAUGCACAUUCAUGAAGUGCCCCAUAUUUAA